RNAcentral lists this ribosomal RNA (497 nucleotides) under uncultured bacterium. RNAcentral describes it as "partial 16S ribosomal RNA". It matches the Rfam family "Bacterial small subunit ribosomal RNA", at positions 28 to 507 of the family's 1533-position model. The record is from RNAcentral.
GAUGAACGCUGGCGGCGUGCCUAAUACAUGCAAGUCGAGCGAACAGACGAGGAGCUUGCUCCUCUGACGUUAGCGGCGGACGGGUGAGUAACACGUGGAUAACCUACCUAUAAGACUGGGAUAACUUCGGGAAACCGGAGCUAAUACCGGAUAAUAUAUUGAACCGCAUGGUUCAAUAGUGAAAGACGGUUUUGCUGUCACUUAUAGAUGGAUCCGCGCCGCAUUAGCUAGUUGGUAAGGUAACGGCUUACCAAGGCAACGAUUCGUAGCCGACCUGAGAGGGUGAUCGGCCACACUGGAACUGAGACACGGUCCAGACUCCUACGGGAGGCAGCAGUAGGGAAUCUUCCGCAAAGGGCGAAAGCCUGACGGAGCAACGCCGCGUGAGUGAUGAAGGUCUUCGGAUCGUAAAACUCUGUUAUUAGGGAAGAACAAAUGUGUAAGUAACUAUGCACGUCUUGACGGUACCUAAUCAGAAAGCCACGGCUAACUACGUG